UGGGGAAUCUUGCGCAAUGGGCGAAAGCCUGACGCAGCGACGCCGCGUGAGUGAUGAAGGCCUUCGGUUGUAAAGCUCUGUGGGAGGAAGCGGUACCUCCUUAGCAAGCACCGGCUAACUCUGUGCCAGCAGCCGCGGUAAGACAGAGGGUGCAAACGUUGUUCGGAAUUACUGGGCGUAAAGCGUGUGUAGGCGGUGAGGUAAGUCGGAUGUGAAAGCCCAGGGCUCAACCCUGGAAGUGCAUUCGAUACUGCUUCGCUUGAGUACUGGAGAGGUUGGUGGAAUUCUCGGUGUAGAGGUGAAAUUCGUAGAUAUCGAGAGGAACAUCUGUGGCGAAGGCGGCCAACUGGACAGAUACUGACGCUGAGACGCGAAAGUGUGGGGAGCAAACAGGAUUGGAUACCCGUGUAGU
Molecule: ribosomal RNA, 412 nt
Filed under: uncultured bacterium
Lineage: Bacteria
Description: bacterial SSU rRNA
Rfam family: Bacterial small subunit ribosomal RNA
Source: RNAcentral